This 1272-nucleotide long non-coding RNA is filed under the name Zonotrichia albicollis (white-throated sparrow). RNAcentral describes it as "lncRNA (ENSZALG00000010900.1)". The record is from RNAcentral. Lineage: Eukaryota; Metazoa; Chordata; Aves; Passeriformes; Passerellidae.
UACUACUCUUCCAUCUGCUUUUUCCCCUCCUUUGCUAUCUCACACACAUACACAAUCACUUAUGUAAAGUCACUCAGGACAGGAAGAAUCCAACAAUAACUGUUAUUAGCACUGCAAAGGAAAAAACAUUGCUGGUUCUCCUUGGAAAUCUUCCUGAAUGGAUACCUGCAUGGCAACCUCGGCACAACAUGAUGGUUGUAACCCAGUUUGGAGUGGAACUGUGAAAGAGGAAUUCACAACACAAAGCCAUCUCCACGCUGGCAAGCAAUCUCAGAAGAAAAGACAAGAAUUGGCAGGCCUGAAAAGAAAACCACCUUUCUCACCUUUACUGGAAAAAACAGGGCUGUUAGCUCUGCUCUGAUAAAACAUAGAAAAAUCAUUGAGUAACAGUGCCCUUACAAAAGCCAGUGCUGGUGGUGUACAUCUGCUGAGGAUGAAUUUGAGAUCAUGUUUCAUCUAGUAAAGCAAAAUACAGAAACACAAGGUGUCGUUUUUGGACUCUGUGACCUAAGACUUUGAAAGUCUACACCUUGCCUGCUGGAAACUGCUCUGCUGUGGUCUGCCUUGCAAACAAGCCUUGAAAAUUUCCAGACCCCAUUCACCAAGUAUUUACAUCAGCAUGCAUCAGGAAUGUCUCAGUUGCAUUCCCCGUCUCUAACACGUGUGGGCUCAGCUGAAGGCCACAUCUGAAAAACCUGAUGUUUCCAAAAGAGCAAAGAUCUUAUCAAAGACUGACACAAAUUUUUCUGCCUCUGUCAGAGGUAUGUGAUAGACUCCCAGAAAGAAAGCAGGCACAAACUUAUUUCUGAAACACCCAGCCACCCUUACAGCCCACACUCUGCAAGAUGCCCCAUCCUGGAAGCAGACUGCUGGGUUGACACUGGUGUUCCUGUCACACAAGAACAUGGGCAACAUAGACAAGAAAGGGAAAUGCCCCAGCUUGUGUUGUUGCAAAACGAGACAGAAUGUGAGCAAAGAUGCAGCUGGCUACCUGAAAAGAGAAAAACAUAGCUCUUCCUAUCCCUGGCCAUUUAGUGCACUUCAGACAAAUAUGUGUAAUGCCAUAUUACAAUUCAAGUGACCAAUCUAUAUUCUUCAUUUUUUCCCAAACAAUUUCCCUUCCUUCUUCCUUCUCAAGGUGUCCUUAAACAGUCAAGCAAAAUGAAGAACCUUUUCCAACCUCCCGCGAAUAAGUAACUUUAUGUAUUAAAUUAUACUGCCAUCAAUUAUUAGAUGAAGAUUGUAAUUAAAUAUUACAAUGAAGAAUAUUAU